GACGAACGCUUUUGGCGUGCUUAACACAUGCAAGUCGAACGGAAAGGCCCUGCUUUUGUGGGGUGCUCGAGUGGCGAACGGGUGAGUAACACGUGAGUAACCUGCCCUUGACUUUGGGAUAACUUCAGGAAACUGGGGCUAAUACCGGAUAGGAGCUCCUGCUGCAUGGUGGGGGUUGGAAAGUUUCGGCGGUUGGGGAUGGACUCGCGGCUUAUCAGCUUGUUGGUGGGGUAGUGGCUUACCAAGGCUUUGACGGGUAGCCGGCCUGAGAGGGUGGCCGGCCACAUUGGGACUGAGAUACGGCCCAGACUCCUACGGGAGGCAGCAGUGGGGAAUAUUGCACAAUGGGCGGAAGCCUGAUGCAGCAACGCCGCGUGCGGGAUGACGGCCUUCGGGUUGUAAACCGCUUUCGCCUGUGACGAAGCGUGAGUGACGGUAAUGGGUAAAGAAGCACCGGCUAACUACGUGCCAGCAGCCGCGGUGAUACGUAGGGUGCGAGCGUUGUCCGGAUUUAUUGGGCGUAAAGGGCUCGUAGGUGGUUGAUCGCGUCGGAAGUGUAAUCUUGGGGCUUAACCCUGAGCGUGCUUUCGAUACGGGUUGACUUGAGGAAGGUAGGGGAGAAUGGAAUUCCUGGUGGAGCGGUGGAAUGCGCAGAUAUCAGGAGGAACACCAGUGGCGAAGGCGGUUCUCUGGGCCUUUCCUGACGCUGAGGAGCGAAAGCGUGGGGAGCGAACAGGCUUAGAUACCCUGGUAGCCCACGCUGUAAACGGUGGGUACUAGAUGUGGGGUCCAUUCCACGGGUUCCGUGCCGUAGCUAACGCUUUAAGUACCCCGCCUGGGGAGUACGGCCGCAAGGCUAAAACUCAAAGGAAUUGACGGGGCCCCGCACAAGCGGCGGAGCAUGCGGAUUAAUUCGAUGCAACGCGUAGAACCUUACCUGGGUUUGACAUGGAUCGGGAGUGCUCAGAGAUGGGUGUGCCUCUUUUGGGGUCGGUUCACAGGUGGUGCAUGGCUGUCGUCAGCUCGUGUCGUGAGAUGUUGGGUUAAGUCCCGCAACGAGCGCAACCCUUGUUCACUGUUGCCAGCACGUUAUGGUGGGGACUCAGUGGAGACCGCCGGGGUCAACUCGGAGGAAGGUGGGGAUGACGUCAAGUCAUCAUGCCCCUUAUGUCCAGGGCUUCACGCAUGCUACAAUGGCUGGUACAGAGAGUGGCGAGCCUGUGAGGGUGAGCGAAUCUCGGAAAGCCGGUCUCAGUUCGGAUUGGGGUCUGCAACUCGACCUCAUGAAGUCGGAGUCGCUAGUAAUCGCAGAUCAGCAACGCUGCGGUGAAUACGUUCCCGGGGCU
This 1346-nucleotide ribosomal RNA is filed under the name uncultured bacterium. Its description in RNAcentral is "partial 16S ribosomal RNA". It matches the Rfam family "Bacterial small subunit ribosomal RNA", at positions 28 to 1381 of the family's 1533-position model. The record is from RNAcentral.